UUCCUUGGAACAGGACGUCAUAGAGGGUGAGAAUCCCGUAUGUGACCGGCCGCCACGCCCGUGUGAAGCUCCUUCGACGAGUCGAGUUGUUUGGGAAUGCAGCUCAAAAUGGGUGGUAAAUUUCAUCUAAAGCUAAAUAUUGGCCAGAGACCGAUAGCGCACAAGUAGAGUGAUCGAAAGAUGAAAAGCACUUUGGAAAGAGAGUCAAACAGUACGUGAAAUUGUUGAAAGGGAAGCGCUUGCAACCAGACUUGGCCGCGGGUGAUCAGCCGGUAUUCUUACCGGUGCACUCACCCGUGGUCAGGCCAGCAUCGGUUCGGACGGCUGGAUAAAGUCCACUGGAAUGUAGCUCCUCUCGGGGAGUGUUAUAGCCAGAGGUGCCAUGCAGCCCGCCCGGACCGAGGACCGCGCUUCGGCUAGGAUGCUGGCGUAAUGGUUGUAAGCGACCCGUCUUGAAACACGGACCAAGGAGUCUAACAUCUAUGCGAGUGUUUGGGUGUCAAACCCAUGCGCGUAAUGAAAGUGAACGGAGGUGGGAACCCUCAAGGGUGCACCAUCGACCGAUCCUGAUGUCUUCGGAUGGAUUUGAGUAAGAGCAUAGCUGUUGGGACCCGAAAGAUGGUGAACUAUGCCUGAAUAGGGUGAAGCCAGAGGAAACUCUGGUGGAGGCUCGCAGCGGUUCUGACGUGCAAAUCGAUCGUCAAAUUUGGGUAUA
RNAcentral lists this ribosomal RNA (715 nucleotides) under Acarospora schleicheri. RNAcentral's name for it is "partial large subunit ribosomal RNA". It matches the Rfam family "Eukaryotic large subunit ribosomal RNA", at positions 186 to 919 of the family's 3401-position model. Lineage: Eukaryota; Fungi; Ascomycota; Lecanoromycetes; Acarosporales; Acarosporaceae. The record is from RNAcentral.